UUUAAGCUCGGAUUCCAUCAUGAUGCAGGAAAUGAGGAUGUACUCUUUUAUUAAGGUUAAAGGUUUUUAAUCACUUUUCCAGAAUACAGAUACGAUUCAAACAAAAACUAUUUUUGGGGUCUCCAUAAUUCACUUAUUAAUACCAUACAUUGAACUCUAUAAACUCUCAUAUAAGAAAAAGUCUUUUUCUUUUUUUUAAUAUAGGUUAUGAUGCACUGGUGACCUAUUUAAAUCUUUUGAAGUAACACUUUGCAGUUAUAUAGCACCUUUCAUCACGGGGCUGCAAAGCAUCCGACAGAAUUUAGCCUCAUAAUGCCCAAACGAGGUAGGAAAGUCUGGCCAAUUUACAGAGGGGUACAACCGAGGUACAGACUGGCAAGGGACGGAACAUGAGGCUUCACUGGUACAACGGGAGUGAAGUGCCCGCUGGCCCCUGGGCUGUAGGAUGAGUUGGUGGCUUAACUGGGGAGAAAGAAGUCAUCACCCACACCCUCCUCUCAAAGGCAGCAGCCGGGCUCCCAGCAGGUCAAGGCAGCCUCUCCAAAGGUCUGGCUUUUUGUGUUUCAGGUGUAGAAGAGUCAACAGAGAGUCCAAGGCUCAUAGGGCUAAGUCCCCUAGGUGUGCUGCUUGUUGGCGUGCCUGAUAGCUGGCUAUGAACCACAGAAUUAACCUUGCUGUGGCUAAAGUGGUUGUUGCAGCCUCCCCAUCCCUAAGUCUGAACAGCAGGAAGCUGGGCUGGAUUUGUGUUAAUGUGCACUCAGGAUGCAUUCUGAGAUCUGGUGUUUGAUGCUUUGUUUAGCUGGACUGUUUAACUGAGACAAACUCCCUUCUCCCUGUAAGCAGGCGAUAAUCUCAGCUAUUUCAGGGUUUAUUUCUUUAACAAAAAACAUACCUCUGCUGAAAAACCAUCAGCUUAGUGAAUGUGAUGUCCAAUGGACAUGAAGUUCUGCAGCUAGAGGAGUCCAAGAUACCCAAGUUCCUUUGAGCCUUUCUGACUUUACAAACCAUCCCAAACUCUACAACUCUCCCUUGGCCAGAGCUAGCACUCAGCUCUGUUAGGAAUGUUCAAAACAGAUGACAUGUGGAAGCAAAAAGGGGAGAACCCGUUGUGCUGAUGGAAGCAAAACUCCAACCUAGACAGUGAGCACGGUGCUGGUGGGUUGAGAAGAGCAUUGUAUGGAUUUUAAAGACGAGCAUUUGUUCUGCUUGCUUGUUUUUAAGGCAACAGUGAAACUUGCUCAAGGGACUGAGAAGAGUUACUGAGACUGUUACCAAAACCUGAAGACUUUAUUGCACAUUCAGAGUCCCUUCUGUGCCCCUGGCACUAAACCAGCACCGGUGGAGUCUCGCCGCUGCGGGAGCACACCCUGGGGAAACACGAAAUGAGCCUUUGCUGCUGUUUCAUUUCAAGUCUCUGAGGAGGUGACUGCCAGAGAAAUCCAGGGGUUUCUUUUAGACAGUGGUUGGCAGAGUAAUUUGUAAGGUAAUUCAAUCUGCACUUAAUUCUGUGGUGUUCAGCAUGCGCCGUUUCCUCUUCUAGUCAACCGAAGGCAGGAGAGAGCAGCAGGUUUGCAGCGAGCACCUCUCGCAGGGAGAACUGCCAGGAAACAGCCACAUUCCAGAAGCACUUUAAACAAAGAUCUCUGCAAAAAUCCAAAGAGCCAGCACUGAGAACACGCGUGGUGAGGAGUAACGUGGCAUACCCGCUGCCAGGCUCCCAAACCGGGCUGCAGAGCUGUGCCAUGAAGGGGUUAAACAUGUGUCUUGCAGUGGGACAGCACAGAGGUAGAAACCCUGUUAGCAGGAAGCAUCCUCUUCAAUUCUUCUUUCUUGUUUCUCUGUCCACCCUGAGAUUACAGCCUGAUUUGCUCCUUAAAAGAGUAUUUCAAAUAAUAAAUGCUGUUGCAUGGUCAGGAAAUGAUUGGGAUCUAUUGAUUAUGAACAACUUAAGUGCUCAGAACUUUGAUCCUAUGUGCAAAAAUCUAUUAAUAAUGUUAAUCCUUCAAGGUAAUCCGGCCUGUAAAUCAGUGUGAACUCCAGCCAGGCUGACCAGCAAUUCCUCAAGAGGCAAAAAUAGCCCAAGCACACCCUGGGCAACAAACACCGUGGCCAAAGGGCCUCCGAGCAGAAGGUAUCUGACCAGGGAAAUGAAACUGAAACUAUUCCUUCUGCUAAUCGUAUCACUGAACUGAACUGAACCCCUUCUCAGCUCAGAGCCAUGACAUAAAAGCAGUUAGCACAAUGCUUUGCUUUCAACCAGUCAAGCUUAAAAGUUAUUUAUCUUUUCUUGCUGAGAGAGCAUGAAAGGCAAAUGUCUUUCAUUCCAAGUACCUGGAAAAAAUUGAUGUACGUGAAAGUGCUCAUAGAGAAGAAAGAGUGAGGGACUUCAGAGGAAGAAAAUGAGUAAGUUUCUCAUAAGAUACAAAUAUGCUACUUCAUGGGAAUAUUUCUGUUAAUGUCUAGUAAGUGAAAACUCAGAUGUGGUAUUGCUUUUUAGGCAAUCUCAACACAACCAACGCCUGCCCCCCCCCCCCCCCCCAACAGCUUAUCCUAACUGCUCCCUUGCUUAUUCCCUGGAAGGGAGGAAUGUCAGGGAAGGAGGGAGUGAGAAAUCAGCCAAAGGGAUGCCCAAGAAGUACGGAAUUCCCAGAUCCCUUCCCUCUCCUACUGCCAAGGUUCGUGUGCAACAAACACAGCUCAGACUUCUUCAGUGCCCUACAGACAUGCCAACUAAUCCUUCCACAAUGAUUUGGUUUUCCCUGAAACGUUCUAUCAGCCAUUCCAAUCCAAAACACUGUGCCUGCUAUUUCGCUAUUUAACUCUGGGGAGGGACAGGUUAGUGUUCAUGGAACAAGACACGAGCCUGCAGGAGCAUCCCUGAGCUCCAAGAGCUUGGGUAGUUCACUGGCAGGGUAUGUAUUAUGGACUGCUAGGCCAGGACGUGGAGAAAGCAGCAUCUUUGAUCAGAAAUGACAGACACAGAUGGGCUUUGAUCAGACAGAAUCAGGGGCAGGUUUACUUUUCACAUAGUUUUCUGUAUUAAAAAAUACAUCAGUGAAAUCUGUUACAGGCAGGGACAGGACUACCGAGUACACGACGUCAAUAGACUACUUUCUGAUUUUAUUUUUUGUUAAAUUACUUCUGUUACUGCUAAAAAAAUAAUUAAAAAACCAAACAAAACCAAACAAAAAAAAAAAAAGGAAACAGAAUUCAAGGCUGUUGAUUUUCAUCUCUUGAAAUUUUAGUGACAAGAUCAAAUAUCAGACCCCUGUUACAGAAGAUGACCGGAGCUACAUCAAAACCAUACAAUUCUCUUCUUUAAAAAUAGUUUGGGUUUCCAGUGAAUUUGUGACCACUGGUCACCAGAAACACACAUCUAUAGCUUGAGAAAAGGGGAGCUACAGACAGUAUCUGAUAAUGUCCUGUCCUUCAAACACAACGUGGGAGCUUUUCUCUUCCAAAAGACGCAGUAACAGCCAAGCCUUAAAAAAAUCUCUUUUGAUUUCCAACACUAUGACUAAAUCUCUUUGGGUGGGGUGGGAAAAAAACACACAUGGUAAUUUUCUACCACAGUUCAGUUGUCAAAAGUAAUACUGCAUCCUUUGCACAACACUGCACGCGUUGCAAAGGCGGAAAGAGUGAGCGUAUCUUCCAUUUGAAAUGACAAGGCCCUCCAGAUUUGCCUUAUAAAAUAACCAAAACCAUUGGAGUAGGGAGAGAGGAGAAAGGAAAGCUGCCUUAAGGGAAAAACAAUUUCCGCGCACCACAGUAUUUGCUAGAUUAUAUCAACAGACUGCAGAGCUACUGGGCUAGGGAAGGGAUUUCUGCACAUACCCCAGGACAGUCACUCUCCUGUACAUACCCCAGAAAUGUUCAUCCCGUAACAUGAUCCCUCUGAAGUUGGACCUACAGCACCUCUUCCGCAUCGAAGACCAAACAGAGCUAAGAGUUGGAAUUGGCCUGGACCGAGAGCUAGAUUCUGGCAUCGUGUGACCCAUUUAACAGCAGCCAGACAGUUGUCCCUUUAGACAGCCAGUGGCUUCUGCCUUCCUACCGCUUGAUCCCAGUUUCCAAAGGAAAACAACUAUAAAAGCAUGUGUAGGUGUAUUUAUAAUGGGAGGUGUCUGCCUGAGCACCACCACUUCCUCUCCUGGCCUCGUGAAGAGCUCUAGGAGCUCCACGCGUUCUUUGGCAGCAAGGACUGCCAGCCACCAGGCUGAGAAGUCACGUGAGCCACAGUCUAG
Long non-coding RNA from Pezoporus occidentalis (night parrot), 4244 nucleotides. RefSeq lists it as uncharacterized. The record is from RefSeq and is a predicted model, not a curated record. NCBI's taxonomy places the organism in Eukaryota, Metazoa, Chordata, Aves, Psittaciformes, Psittacidae. The transcript is spliced from 2 exons.